AGGGGGCAAGCGUUGUCCGGAUUUAUUGGGCGUAAAGAGCGUGUAGGCGGCCAGAUAGGUCUGCUGUGAAAACUCGAGGCUCAACCUCGAGCUGUCGGCGGAAACCAUUUGGCUAGAGUCCGGAAGAGGAGAGUGGAAUUCCUGGUGUAGCGGUGAAAUGCGCAGAUAUCAGGAAGAACACCUAUGGCGAAGGCAGCUCUCUGGGACGGUACUGACGCUGAGACGCGAAAGCGUGGGGAGCGAACAGG
Molecule: ribosomal RNA, 248 nt
Filed under: uncultured bacterium
Lineage: Bacteria
Description: partial 16S ribosomal RNA
Rfam family: Bacterial small subunit ribosomal RNA
Source: RNAcentral